RNAcentral lists this long non-coding RNA (304 nucleotides) under Ananas comosus (pineapple). Its description in RNAcentral is "long non-coding RNA (ACOM_LNC044051)". Lineage: Eukaryota; Viridiplantae; Streptophyta; Magnoliopsida; Poales; Bromeliaceae. The record is from RNAcentral.
GGUGAGCGACGGUGGGUUCUGGUGUCGAAAUUGACGCUUCCGGGAACCCGGAUCGGAACAGUUAUCCGACGAUAAUUGUUUCGAUGUGAGGUUACGUAUUUGCUGCUAGGACACCUUAUUUAUGAUGUUGUGUGGUAGUGGGUGACUCGUGGCGUGAGUUGGUGAGUCCCUGGACACUUCGUGGGUCCUGGCGGAGUUCCAGUGCGAUUUUCGGGACUGCCGGUGAGUUACGGUAAUCGGUUUUGGGAAACCGAUUCCCGUGGGUUUAAUUGUGGGAUUGUGAGCAUAGUAUUUUACACAUGGG